GGGACGAUCAGUACAGGUGGUGCAUGGCUGUCGUCAGCUCGUGUCGUGAGAUGUUGGGUUAAGUCCUGCAACGAGCGCAACCCUUAUUCUUAGUUGUUUCCCUUUGGGAUUACCCUCUAAGAAGACUGCCUCGGAUAACGGGGAGGAAGGUGGGGAUGACGUCAAGUCCGCAUGCUCCUUACGUCUAGGGCUACACACGUCCUACAAUGGGGUCGACAAUGGGAUGCAAUAUCGCAAGAUGGAGCCAAUCCCCAAACGGCCUCUCAGUUCGGAUUGUAGUCUGCAACUCGACUACAUGAAGUUGGAAUCGCUAGUAAUGGCAGAUCAGCAUGCUGCCGUGAAUACGUUCCCGGGUCUU
RNAcentral lists this ribosomal RNA (358 nucleotides) under uncultured bacterium. RNAcentral's name for it is "bacterial SSU rRNA". It matches the Rfam family "Bacterial small subunit ribosomal RNA", at positions 1022 to 1382 of the family's 1533-position model. The record is from RNAcentral.